RNAcentral lists this ribosomal RNA (402 nucleotides) under uncultured bacterium. Its description in RNAcentral is "partial 16S ribosomal RNA". It matches the Rfam family "Bacterial small subunit ribosomal RNA", at positions 355 to 774 of the family's 1533-position model. The record is from RNAcentral.
UGGGGAAUAUUGGACAAUGGGCGAAAGCCUGAUCCAGCCAUGCCGCAUGAGUGAAGAAGGCCUUUGGGUUGUAAAGCUCUUUUAGUGAGGAAGAUAAUGACGGUACUCACAGAAGAAGUCCCGGCUAACUCCGUGCCAGCAGCCGCGGUAAUACGGAGAGGGCUAGCGUUAUUCGGAAUUAUUGGGCGUAAAGGGCGCGUAGGCUGGUUAAUAAGUUAAAAGUGAAAUCCCGAGGCUUAACCUUGGAAUUGCUUUUAAAACUAUUAAUCUAGAGAUUGAAAGAGGAUAGAGGAAUUCCUGAUGUAGAGGUAAAAUUCGUAAAUAUUAGGAGGAACACCGGUGGCGAAGGCGUCUAUCUGGUUCAAAUCUGACGCUGAAGCGCGAAGGCGUGGGGAGCAAACA